AUAUUUGUAUAUUUGUGUGUAUGUGUGCAUGCAUAUAGAUGUGUACACACACACACACACACACACACACACACACACACACACACAUA
This 89-nucleotide microRNA precursor is filed under the name Notamacropus eugenii (tammar wallaby). RNAcentral describes it as "miRNA (ENSMEUG00000017526.1)". Lineage: Eukaryota; Metazoa; Chordata; Mammalia; Diprotodontia; Macropodidae. The record is from RNAcentral.